CGGCGAGUGAAGCGGCAACAGCUCAAAUUUGAAAUCUGGCCUCGGCCCGAGUUGUAAUUUGCAGAGGAUGCUUCUGGCGCGGUGCCUUCCGAGUUCCCUGGAACGGGACGCCACAGAGGGUGAGAGCCCCGUAUGGUCGGACACCAAGCCUGUGUGAAGCUCCUUCGACGAGUCGAGUAGUUUGGGAAUGCUGCUCUAAAUGGGAGGUAAAUCUCUUCUAAAGCUAAAUACCGGCCAGAGACCGAUAGCGCACAAGUAGAGUGAUCGAAAGAUGAAAAGCACCUUGAAAAGGGGGUUAAAUAGUACGUGAAAUUGUUGAAAGGGAAGCACUUAUGACCAGACUUGGGCCGGGCGGCUCAUCAGGGGUUCUCCCCUGUGCACUCCGCCCGGCACAGGCCAGCAUCGGUUCUCGUGGGGGGAUAAGACCGUCAGGAACGUAGCACCCUCCGGGGUGUGUUAUAGCCUGGCGGACGAUACCCCCGUGGGGACCGAGGUCCGCGCUCCGCAAGGAUGCUGGCGUAAUGGUCAUCA
This 531-nucleotide ribosomal RNA is filed under the name Phomopsis sp. MAFF 410643. RNAcentral's name for it is "eukaryotic LSU rRNA". It matches the Rfam family "Eukaryotic large subunit ribosomal RNA", at positions 87 to 643 of the family's 3401-position model. The record is from RNAcentral. Lineage: Eukaryota; Fungi; Ascomycota; Sordariomycetes; Diaporthales; Diaporthaceae.